GACGAACGCUGGCGGCGUGCUUAACACAUGCAAGUCGAACGGAAAGGCCCUGCUUGCAGGGUACUCGAGUGGCGAACGGGUGAGUAACACGUGGGUGAUCUGCCCUGCACUUCGGGAUAAGCCUGGGAAACUGGGUCUAAUACCGGAUAGGAGCCAUUUUUAGUGUGAUGGUUGGAAAGUUUUUUCGGUGUAGGAUGAGCUCGCGGCCUAUCAGCUUGCUGGUGGGGUAAUGGCCUACCAAGGCGGCGACGGGUAGCCGGCCUGAGAGGGUGGACGGCCACAUUGGGACUGGGAUACGGCCCAGACUCCUACGGGAGGCAGCAGUGGGGAAUAUUGCACAAUGGGCGCAAGCCUGAUGCAGCGACGCCGCGUGGGGGAUGACGGCCUUCGGGUUGUAAACUCCUUUCGCUAGGGACGAAGCUUUUUGUGACGGUACCUAGAUAAGAAGCACCGGCUAACUACGUG
Molecule: ribosomal RNA, 465 nt
Filed under: uncultured bacterium
Lineage: Bacteria
Description: partial 16S ribosomal RNA
Rfam family: Bacterial small subunit ribosomal RNA
Source: RNAcentral